CGCAGAUGUAUGAAUAUGAGAUGUUAUGUGAGUAUCUACAGAACCUAAAUUAUCAACCGGCUUUCCAAGCACGUUGAAAAUUUGUCCUAGAGUCGCUCCACCGACUGGAACACUUAGAGGAGGUCUGGUGUCAAUCAUUUUCAUUCCUCUCUUUAGACCAUCUGUAGCACUCAUAGCAUUUUAUAAGUAGUGCUAAUUUCUUUAGUAACCCCCAUCUCAAAAUUAAGCACAUAUUUAGGAGGGCACACAAAUGAUCAAAGAGAUCAUAUUCACGAAGCACUGAGCAAAACUGAAAAUUCCACUUAAUGAAAUUAUCAUCAUUCAACUUGAUUGUUAACAUCCCUAAAAGAUUCUCAAGCUUCACUGACUCAGACAUGAUUACGUAGCAACAAUAUCAAUCAAGAAUCACAACCACAAACCAAGAGGAUGAAAUCGGAAAAAAUCACCGACUUAGGAGAAAAACCCAGAUGUAAAACUCAAAUUUCGCGUCCAAAAUUUCACAAAGAAGAACAAUCAACUAACGAUACUGGAUGAACAACUGGUUAUCGACCUUAAUUCAUCACAGAAAUCAUGUAAAUUGGCAUCAGCCUUCAAGAACGCUUCAAUAGCAUACAAUCUGAAAUGAUCUAAUCAAUCAAGCUGUCUGGGCAUCGGCCUUGAAUUCAGACAAGCUACUACUAUAAUCUUGAACAAAGAAACAAGAUCCGAAACAAAAUUCCCAAUUUACCAGAUGACUGAAGACGAGGAGAGAGACCACCAAACCUCGAAGAACACCAUAGCGGAAAAAAAAUUCACCAAGAACCCAUCACGCAAGCAAAGUGGCUCUGAGAUACCAUAUUAACACUAAGAUCAAUAUUACAGAAAGAAGAAAUGCAGACGAUCAAAAAGAAGAAACUUAAAAUACAAGACAACUUGUAUUUCUCAGAAAAUGCAACAGUACAUUACAAGAGAGGGAAAAUCCCUUUUAUACAUUCUGUUUACAACCGCUUAGCAUAUCCUGUAAACUUCUAAUCACGUGGCACAAGUGUACAUGUCAUCUAUAUCCAAUAGUAUGAUAUGGGUGAUGACUUCUUGAAUGUAGUUGGCGCGCGCUUUGGUUAGGAGAAAGAGUUUUCGAGUUCUUUCUGAUCGAGUGAGGUUGGGUUGGUAGAAGGGUGAUUCGGGGGAAUCGUGGUGGAUUAGCUUAAUGCUCAACCCUUGUUUUGCCAUGGUCACUCUAGGUAGUGAUAAGAGUUGAUGAUAGGAAUAGGAUGUACAGAAAGAGACAAGUGAUUGUGUUAGCCAUAUGGAAAUUCGAAGAAAUUUUAUGUUGAGCAAUCUUUUGCUUGUGAAACUUAAACCCUGAUUAGAUUACUUGUUAAAUAUAUUGAGUGGGCAAAGGCACUUUAAGGUGCUUUAUUAAUAACAAAAUCAGGCUUUAAGGUUGACACACCCCGACCGAGGUCAAGGCAUGAUGGCCGUCACGUGAGAGUGACGUAGCCAUGUGCACAGUGCGGAAGCGAUAAAGAUAGCAAAUAUACGAAUAAUUAAAAACCAAAUUACUAGAGUGCACUACUAAACGAAUAUGAUAGGAGUUAGUUACAACAGUGAACACUCCUAAUCAGAGCAUAAUAAGUCUAGAUGCAGUCCAGUAGGACAAGUACUAGUUACACAGUACCAGGAAUGUCCUACUAUUAUUCAAAUAGGUCAAAACUGCCGACGAUCCCGAGCCACCUACAACAACUUACUUAGAACCUGGAGGGGCACAAAACAGAAAACGUGAGUGGGCAAAAACAAAUGUUUUACAAAAACAUUUCACUAAUCAACAUAUCUAACCCCUCGCUGUAAAACAUGUAUAAUUUUCCCAUAAUCAAGAUGUAAGCAUAUACAUACAUAUAUAUAUAUAUAUAUAUAUGAAAUCAUAUCAAUUCAGUUCAUGUUUCACAUAAUCAUAUUCAUAUGUAUAUAUGCCAUGCCAAGAUAUAAUAGAGUAAAUAAUUCGGGUAAGAAUAAUUUCAUAGAAAUGUGAUAUGUUAGCCGGAACCCCUGUGGUAGUCUGUACGGCUGAAUUCAUAGCUCAAACUCAAUCUAGCCGAAGUCACUACACUACUACAAAAGGCCCCUAUAGUGUCAGUUGUUGCGUCGGUUUAAUAUAAUAUAGUGGCGCACAAGAGAGUUGCGACACCCACUGAAUAUGACGUCGGAUUUAGAAAGCCUGCGUCGCUUUUAAACCGACGUAAACAUUUAAUGUCGCUUAUAAUCGACACACAUUUUAAUAAUUUUAAAUACUGGCGUCGCUUUAAAUAAAACAGUGUCGCUUUUAAGCGACAUAAAGUAUGGGUGUCGCAUAUAGAAGCGACACUAAUUGGUUUUUUUAUAUAUUUUAAAUCCUGCGUCGAUUCUGAGCGACAUAUAUUUUAUUUUUUUAAAUAUUUUGAAACCUGGUGUUGGUUGUAAGUGACAGAUUGAUGGUCUUUAUAUACCCUCCCCCGUGUUUUCUUCUUCUUCUCUUGCAUUUAUCUCAUUCUCACGGUUUACAAACCUUCUGGUGUUCUCUCUCUUUCACCUUCCCGAUUUCUUCCAAGUUCAUUCUUCACAAAGGUAAGUUUUUCUUGCUUGUAGUAUUUUUAUUUUCUCCUCUUAUGUUUAAUUUUUUGAUACAAUUUAUUUUUGUAGGGAAUUUAUUUGAGCUGGUUAAGUACAUAAAGAAUUGAUCGACGACGGAAUUCUUCUAUAAUUCAGGUUUCUAUCACUAAAUUCUUUAAUUUUUAAAUUGUAUAAUACACAAGUUUAUUUAUUUAAAAAUUGUAAUUUAAGUAGUUAGAUAAAUUUCUAUUAUUUUUGUUAAAUUAAUUCAUAUUUAGGUGAAUUAAUUAAUUUUGUCACUUGAAUUGUUAUGAGAAAAUGGAAUGAAUAUUAUUUAUAAGCAUUUAUGUUAAAUUAACAACAUUAAAUAUAACAUAAACUUAUAAUAUUGAGUAAUUUAAGAAUAUAUUAUGUUAAAUUAAUUUUUUUUGCACUCUAAUUGUUUUUUUAAUUUGUUGUUAUUUUGAUAAUUUUUUGUUGUUAUUUACUAGAAUGGAUUAGAUGAGAAUAAUUUGAAUUGUUAUGAGAAAAUGGAAUGAAUAUUAUUUAUAAGCAUUUAUGUUAAAUUAACAAUAUUAAAUAUAACAUAAACUUAUAAUAUUGAGUAAUGUAAGAAUAUAUUAUGUUAAAUUAAUUUUUUUUGCACUCUAAUUGUUAAUUUAAUUUGUUGUUAUUUUGAUAAUUUUUUGUUGUUAUUUACUAGAAUGGAUUAGAUGAGAAUAAUUUGAAUUGUUAUGAGAAAAUGGAAUGAAUAAUAAUUAUAAGCAUUUAUGUUAACAAGGCAUGAUAGCCCGGCUGAAGCCCUCCAGUGUGGGGAGCCCGAGGGACUGGGCAGGCCCGAGCAACAUGCCUAUGAGGAAUCACCAGCCCUCGAGCCCGAGGUGGACCUAACGUAGGGCUAACGUCAGUCUGGCGUCAGUCCCAUUUUUAAAUUUUUUUCUAUCAAGCACGUGGGGGCGCAGCAGCCGACAGAUUUCAGACCCUAGGGACCCGCGAUGCAGUCUGCCUCAGUUACCAUUGGGAAGCCAGGUGGCUUCCCACGGUCCGUUCGAUCUCAACGGCUCUUUAAAAUGGGUCGUCCGAUUUGCAACAGUAAUAAAAAAAAUUAUUUAAUAUCAACCGUUGGAUCUGAGAUCGACGGUUGAUAUUAUUCUGCUUUAUAAAUAAAUAAAUAAAUAAUAGUUUUAAAAUUAAAAAAAGUUACCAUUGUGACAUGUGGCACAAUCUGAAGUGUUGGAAUUCAUUUUUUUUUAAAUCCAACGGCAGAGAUUAAUUAGUUCAAUAAAAAAUUUAAAAAAAAUUGUAAAAAAUCCGAAAAAAAAAUCUGAAUUUUUUUUAAAAAAAUUGUUUUUACUUUUCUAUAAAUACCUUCUCAUUAUCAUCUACCUUACACCACAAUUUCAUAUUUUCUCAACUACUUUCAAUCAAAUUCCUAUCUUUCUCUCAAAGUUUCAAUCCAAUUUUUUUCAACAAAAUGACUACUGAUGCAGAUACGAAUUGGUCGUUUCUUGAAGAUGUUGCGUUGUGUACUAGCUGGAUUGAAGUUACUCAUAGUUCACUUACGGGUAAUGAGAUGCAGUUGUGAGAAAUGUGGAGUCUUAUUCAUACCAAUUAUCUUGAGAAAAUGGGUGGGAAAAGAACCAAAGAAUCAAUGUCCAGUCGUUGGAAAUUACCUAGCCAAUCGUUUAGUAUGUGGAGAGACGCCUUGGCACAAGCUAGUGCUAAUCUUCGAAGUGGGGAAAAUUACACGAAUCAAGUAACAAUAUAUUAUUUAUUUGUUUGUACUAUACCCAAAUUUACAUUAUAAUUAGUUGUUUGUAUUAUUUAUUUGUUACAUACUUUCAUUAUAAUUAUUUGUUUGUAUUAUUAUUUGUUUAUUUGUUACCUACUUUCAUUAUAAUUAUUUAUUUAUUUGUUACCUAUUUAUUUGUAGCAACUUCAAGCACAAGCUUGGUAUGGUGCCAAAACCAAAAGUAAAAAUAAAUCAUUCAACCGGUGGGAAUGUUGGAAUAUUGUCAAAGAUUGUCCUAAAUUCAGAGUUGUGCCUGUCGGUUCAGAAGUUUUCAUGAACAACACCCCUCUACACUCUACACCCGAUCAUGGCUUGCAAGUUCAUGAAGAUGAUGCAGAAGAAGUGCCCGAAACACCCCUCCCUGAACAAGCGUCGGGUUCGACCCGUUAUCCAAUUAGGCCUGAAGGUAAGAAGGCUUCAAAGAGAAAAGGGAGCGCUUCCAAGAAUGACUAUGCAAAAUACAUGGAAGAACUUGCUCGCCAAGGUGAAUUGACUUUGGCACAGGAAAUGGCGAAAUUUGAGGCUGAUAAGGCUAGAGAUGAGGCAAAAGCUGCAGCUAUUGAGAGAGAAUUUCAAGCUAAUCAGAGAGAAAGAGAGCUACUUAGGCAAGAAAGGGAACAGGUUAGAGAAGAACGAAUGGCUUAACGAGAUCGUGAAAUUAUGAACACGCCUUUAGAAGGGAAGUCUCCAAAUUCUAAAUAUUUUCAGAGAAAGCGAACGUGGUACGAAAGAAGCGUGCAAGAGAAGCGAGAGCAAGAGAAGAGGGUCCUAGCACGACAAGAGAAGAUCAUCCUAGCACCAAAAAUUUGUUAAGUGAUGAUGAAUAGAGUAAUUUUUGUAAUCGGAGCCCAUAAUUUUCCAAUCACUUUGGGUUGUAAUUUAUUAUUUAUUGAAUAGAGUACUUUAUGUUGUUGCCAAUUUAUUGAAUUUAGUACUUUAUUUAAAGUGAGAGUAAAUUUAUUUAAUUUGGUAAGUUAUUUAUACUAAGAGAAUAUUUAUUCAAGUGACAAAAACACACCAAAUAAAAUUACAUAAACAUACCAAAUAAUAAAAAACUCAUUAAAAAUCUUAUCCGAAAUUACAAAUAAAAUUAUUUUGUAUUAUUUUAUAAAUAAAAAAAAUAUUAAUAUUUUAUUGCCUAUUGCCAAGAGGGAGGCUCCCACACUGGAGAUGCAAAAGGCAGUUACUGUUUAUUAAGGGCAGUUACUGUUCACUGGGUGGAUUGAAUAGUGAAUUGCCUGGGAGGAGGGCUCCCACGCUGGAACUGCUCUAGAAUCCAAGUGGAACAUUAAUGGUAUGAUCAUACUCUCUUCAUUACAAGCUUCACAUACAUAGGUAGAACACUAAAAAUGGUUAGGUUUUGAGCUAGAAAUUGGCUCUGAAAAUCGGGGGAAAAACCUACAAAACUGCAAGAACUUGCGAGGAAGGUUAGUACUGUUUGUAUUGGCGGCGCGUGAAGCGUGUGUGGUGCUGGUGCGUGCAGCGCAUGCGACAGCGUGUGGAGGAACUUGAGGUCCCUCAUUAGGUUUCUCGACAUGCCGAAUCCAAAUAUGUUGUCCGCUUUUCGAAAUUCGACAAUUUUAAAAUAGUUCUUUUAUUAGCCAUACUUUGUACGAAAACGCAUAAUUACAUUAGUAUGUUAUAUUUACAUACAUGGUUUCGUAUCUAGGUGAAAUGUAUCGCAAGGAUCUUCGAUGCCUGCGAGGUGGGUUCGACCCAACGACAUGAUUUGUGAGUGGGUCUUUUCUUUCAUAUAGUGUGUGUGUGUGUGUGUGUGUGUAUUGGUUAGUUUCCACAUAUAUAUUUAUUAAUGAAUUUUCUACAUGAUUGCCAUAAUUAAAUUAAUGUUUAUAAGAAAUGUCUUAUUAUUGGAAAAUUAUGAAAUAAUCCUACGGGAGCACAUGUAAGCUUACUAUAAGGGGAUGCCUUAAUUAUAUUUAUGGUGAAGAAUAAUAUUAUAUUGACUAGAAUUGUUGAAUUACUGUUGCAUGAUCAUAUUUACAUUAUCUGCUGAUCAUUGCUGCAUUCAGUGGCGGAUCCAGGAAUCUUACCCCAAGGGGUCGCAGUGUAAAAGUUCAAAUAAAAAUUUAGGAUGGAAAAACAUAUUGAAAGUGAAAUCAUAGUACUUUCAUUCAUAAUUCAUAAUGGAAACAAUAUUACAAACUAUAAUUGUCCACGACGAGGUUUCAUAUUUUGAAAACGAAGCAUUAUAGCUUCAUUUUCAAUACAAGCAAAAAUAUCUCUCUCAAUAUAAACAAGCAAGCUAUCUCUCUCAAUAUAAAAGUGGAGUGUAUAUGGUAUUAUAGUAAGAACUAGUAGUUUCAGUGCUGAACACUCAAUAGUAGAUUAACUGCUGAUUAACGUGUUAAUGCAAACUAUAAUUUUGGGUGGUAUAUACUACAAAUAGAAACAGCCAUGAUUUGAUUCUUCAGAAUUCGAUUGUGCAGCAUUAGCUAGAGCAUGAGAGUUUUUGAGUUUUGACCGAUAUAGAUUCAUAAUUGAAAAAUGUAAAUUAAAGAAAAAAUAAAUUACACAUUGGUAUUUACACACCCAAAAGGGUGUUUUUUUUUUGUUUUUUUUGGUUUUUAUUAUUUUAUUAUUUUUGGUAAAUACAACAAACCCAAAGGUUAAGAGAUACAAGCAGUCGAAACUACAUAAAACGAAUGAAAGCAUGAUACAAUCAAACAAGGCAGUCCCAAGACAAGUAUGUGUGCUGCCAAAAAAGAAACUUGGAGAUAGAUGGGGAAAUACAGCAGACCCAGCCCCCUUGAACAUGAGAAAUCUUUUGCCAAUCUUCGUCGAUUUCGCACUAGAUUCCCCUCUUCAAUUGAGGACAAUGCUCUAUUUUAACUUCGAGUGGAUGCAUCCCUUCUGGUAGAGAAACCAAUUUUGGACACUCACUAAGGUGAAGUAUUCUAAGGGAUGUGAAACUUGUCAACCACUCAGGUAAUGCAUCCAAGUUUUCACAAUCCCAAAUACACAAGACUCGUAGGGUGUUAGCAGCUCCCUGCAACCAUUCGGGCAAUGCCACCAUCCUUGGUGCUGCCGCAAUAGAAAAUCUUCGGAGCCUCAAUGGAAUUAGUUGAUAGUUUCCGUUCUCCAAAUCAAGCUGCUCACAAUUCCAUAUCAAUAGAGUGUGUAAUGUAGCAAGAUAACUCAUAUCACGUGGCAAAGAGGUUAGAUUACCACAAUGCCAAAUAGAAAGAUACUGAAGUGAUAUCUUCCUCUUCCUGCCGAGUCUUCGUUCAGGCUUUUUGUCGAACAGUUGGCGUGCGAGUCCGACCCCGACGACCCCAGCUCCAAGAGGUCGCAUAUGGGAGCUUCAAGGUUGUUUCCAUGGUUUCCAAGGGGUCGUGCGACCCCGACGACCCCACUGUGGAUCCGCCACUGGCUGCAUUGGUGUUAGUACUCGCCCGGGGCCAUGGCCAGUCUUUCACGUAUAUGUUCACAUCACACCGUACACUCACUUUAGAUUCAUUGUAGAUGCCAGUCCUGUCCUAGAUUGCUAUAGGCAAUUAGAACUCGUAUAUGAUGCGCAUAGCGCCAGUCUACACGUGAUUGUAGUACUAGAGCAUAAAUCAUUAUUACACCCAAUCAUGUUCAUGUCAGAAUACCUCUGCAUGAACUCGUGUGUUAGCAUAUGUCGAUGAGCACUCGAUAUGAUAUGUUUGUUUAUGUGAGAAUAUAUGAUUACAUAUGUCAUGUGUUUAUUUACAAAAGUUUGUGACGUAUUGCAUUCUUGAGAUACUUCUGGCUAUGGUAAGUAUUUUCAUACUAUACGUAGUAUAUCUAUUUUGGAAACUAUACUUGUUUUACGGUGAGGGGUUAUUAUGUUUCAAAAAGGUUUUUACAAAGCUUUAUUUUUAGGCCCACUCACCCUUGUUUUUUGCUCCUCCAAGUAUUAGUGGCAGAGCUUUCGUGUCGACGAGGAUUUAUGGCAAAAUGUUGUUGUGGGUAUACUAUCGAGGUAUAAUUCCUCUUUUACCUUUACUGUACUUUACUUAUACUCUGACAUCACGUGUGAAAUGGGUUCAUUCCUGCUCACAUGCGCACUCUUACAUUUAGGUACUUUAGGUUUAAAUCUACUCACAUUUUCCACAUCACUACACUUUAUGGCUUUGUUACAUUCUUGGUGCCGGCCAGUACAACUCGAUUCGGAGUCCAGGUGGACACUCCGGGUCGGGAUGUGUCACUUUUCUACACAAUUUUGAAUCCAAAUAAUCGACUACAUACAUUUUCUCAUGCUCAUAUUCUAACAUGCCUUGCUUUGAUUAACUCGAGGUUGUUGUGGAUUUCUUUAGGGAGUGGUGAAGUUGUCAGGGGUGUUGGCUAGUCCGGCAUUGUAGAGGUGGAGUAGACUGGUGGAUAUUUUCAAUAAGUAUGUGUUUGUAACCAUUACGAAAACCCAAUAUGAGUUGUAUGUGUUUUGCAGUCUCGCUUCAGUUGAGUUUUUGUCAUCUUGGAAAAUUAUGCUAUAUGUGAGUUUGGUGGUCUCACUAUAUGUUAGUUUGAUUGUUAUGAGGUCGAUAUAGUAGGUUAAUCAUAAUGAAAACUCAAUAUGAGUUGUAUGUGUUUUGCAGUCUCGCUUAGUUGAGUUUUUUUUGCUAUAUGUGAGUUCGGUGGUCUCACUAUAUUUUAGUUUGAUCGUUGUGAGGUUGAUAUAGUAGGUUCUUCAUCAGAGUAUUGAACAUGAGUUGUUUUGAGUCUGUUGCAUAUCCACUCUUAAAUGGUGCUUUGGAAUCAUGAAGGAAUUAGAGCCACGGUCAUUACUAGAAAAACUACUUAUGAAGACUGUUCACUGGAUACAAAUAUAAAAAUGUCAUAUUAUAUUGUUAAAUAGAAUCACAUUUUUUCUUCAAUAUCUUUUGUAAAUGUAAGAGACACAAGUGUGGUGUCAUAGAUAUUUAACCCAAUAUGUGAGAAAAUUUUCAACAUAUGUGGAUUGUCAUUUGUCUAAAAACUAGUUUUUCGUUUAUACCAUUUUCAUCUUCAUUUUUGUGGGAGUUUUUAAUCGUUACUACUAUUUGGAAAGCACACAAUAAGUUUAGUUUCAAGGAUUGAACAGUUCCUCUACAUUGCCUUUGAAUGUCAAUUAAAUGUUUUGUCAAAAAAAAUUUGGGAUCACUCAUCUUGGUAAGUUUAUUCUUAGAUACUCUUAAGGUUCGGAUAUUUGUAUCAUUUUUUCUUUAGGUAUCCAACUCAUCCCUCGUAAGGUUCACAUUAUUCGUCAUGUGCAUUGGUCUCCACCCUGGUAUCCUUAAUUGACUUGAGCUUGAUAUUAAGGGCUUGGCUAAAAGGAAUCUUGGUCAUUUUGAGCUUGCAAAGCAUCAUACUCCUUUUGCAUGGUUUGUUGCCAAUAAGGAAUUUGAGAAGCAACCCUGAAGUUAGAGGGUUUAGAAGAAUCUGUAAUAUCAGCAACAAAGGUAAAUCCUCCAAAAAAAAUGAGUAUAAUCAUGUAAUUUCAAAGUUUGAACUUGAGGAAAAACUGUUGCAAGUGCAGUGUAAGCCUUUCUAGUGAUGGUUCCAAUUUUAAGCCCUGUUUGAAUACCCUGAAGAACAUCUGCUUGUACUGAAGCAGUGGAUACUGAAGAUGUAGUAAAUGGCAAAACAGCUUCCAAUUGUCUUAAAGAAAGGACAGGCAACACAUAGGGAUUGGAAAGAGUACCUUUAGAACUGGAAGCAACAUCAUCUAGAUUAGGAUCGUGUGCAUGAUUUGGCACAUUAGAGUCUCGGGAAUAAAUGCUAGUAGGUGAUGCAGAUGAAACUAAAUUCCUAGACAAGGAUGCAUCUUGAUUUGUAGGUGAAACCAUCAGAUUAACCACAACAGGUUUCUUAUCAAACAGUUUUCCAAACUCUGAUUGCAUUUUCAAAUUUUUAGUUUUCCAAACUGCAUGGUACCAACAUUUAAGAGGAAGCUUUGCAACAUUCAACAUAGUGAUAGCAUUUUCAACAAUAUGCCUGUGUUUCCUUUCCACCAAGCCAUUUUGUUGAGGUGUAUAAGAACCAGGUAUAAAAUGCAAUAUCCCAUAAGUAGCAAGAUAAUCCUUGAAAGUAUUACUUAAGAAUUCACCAUCACCAUCAGAUUGUAAUACCUUUAUCUUUGUAUUAAACUGAUUGUCCACAUAAGCACAGAAUCUUACAAAAGUACCAAAAACUUCAGAGUUAUUCAUUAAAGGAAAUACCUCUACAAAUCUUGUUGCUUCAUCAACAAAAGACACAUAACAUCUGAAUCCCUCAACUGAUACAACUGGUGAAGGACCCCACACAUCAGUAUGGAUUUUAUGAAAAUGAAUAUCAACCCUAUCUAACUUCCCUGAAAAGGGCAAUUUACUCAUUUUGCCACUAAGACAGUGUGAACAGACAUGAACAUUUACAUCACUAGAGACGGACACAUUAGAAUCCCCGAGCAUAGCUUCCAAAAUCUCAUUUGAAGGAUGGCCAAACCUGUGACGCCAUAAAGAAGUCUUGACAGCUUUUCCCAAGAAUGCAGCAGCAGUAGAAUCACCUUGAGGAAGUAAAGUUGGAAACACAUGUACAGGAAUCCUCAACAACUCAUUUUGGCUACUCUUUCCUUUGUAAAGUAUCACCCAUGUUUCCUUGUCCUGCACAAAGAAUAGGAAAUCAUCACAGAUAAACCAACUAUUGUUAUCUUUGCACAGUUAUUUCACUGAAAGAAGAUUCAUAGUUAACAUUGGAACAUGCAAAAUAUUUCGAAGAUAAGGAGUGAGAGUGAGAUUGUAAUGUGCCAUGACCAUUCUGAACAGUCAGGCCUUCACCACUUCCAACAUCAUGACCAUUCUGAACAGUCAGGCCUUCACCACUUCCAACAAUGAUCUUAUCACCAUUAUAAAGAACAUUAGAAUUUAAGAGUGUGAUAUCAGGGCUCAUAUGAUGAGAAGCACAUGUAUCCACUAUCCAAGACUCACCCUUAGGAGAAGGUUGUGCAGUUAAAGCUGUCAUAGAGGAAGAAACAGGAGACCCUUGAACUCCAGAAAAAUCUGAAACACUUGUAAAGGACUGACCCUGAUGUAGAAAUGAAGAAGCAAUGCUACUAAAAUACUCUUGAGAAGGAGAAAAGCCUUGAAAUCCACCAUUACGAGGAAAGAAAGCAUGAGACAUAGAAUUAGGAUGCACGAACUGAGAAGAAACAUCUUGAGAGGCAUAAUUGGCACUAAGUGAAUCAGGAGGUGGAGCUCCUUAAUAGGCAUAAUUGCCUUGAUGCCUGCAAUCAAUAGCAAUAUGUCCAUUUUUACCACAAAUUUGACAUUUUUGAACCACUUGAGUGUUAUCAGAUCUAUAUAUUUAAGUGACUACAGUAUGGCCUUUCCUCAUGCAAAUUUGACAUUCAGGAACAAUCUUUUUCUAUUAGAUGUGUUGCCAGACCAAAAGUUAGCAUUUUUAGGACCAUUAAACUUGGAUUUAUAACCACUAGAACUCUUGCCUCUAUAUCCAUUAUUAUUACCAAAACAUCAAUUCCCUUGCCCAUUGUAGUUAUUUUGUCCUUGACCACCAAAACUGUUAUGCCCUUGUCCAUUAAACUGAUUUCCAGGAGAUGUAAAACCAAAAAAAGAAGAAUUAUUCUGUGAAAAGACUGGAGCUUGAGAAAACCCCAUAUUAGAUGGUCUAGGAGCAACAAACCCAAAAUCAAAAUUCUGGAGAAAUGAAGCAUAAUUAAGCAACCCUUGAGCUUGGAAAAGAUGCAAAAGCAGUUGACACAACACUAGAUGCAGAUAAACCAGCAUUAGUACAUAGUAGCCAUACUAUGAACAAGAGAUUGCAUCAUAGUUUCAAGAUUCUUCUCUACCCCUAACAAUUGAGUUCGGAAUUCUUUCAAAGUAAUAGGUGUGUCUCUGGCAAGAAUAAAAGUUCAAAUCAUAUCAAAAUCGGCAGGUAAUCCUGUCAAAACUGCUAUAACAACAUCAUUAUCUAUGAUCUUUUCACCAGGUGCAGUAAGUUUGUCUUUAAUAACCUUCAUCCUUAACAAGUAUUUAUCCACAUUAUCACCACCUUUCUGAAUGAUAUGUAACUCUGCCUUUAAGUGAUUAACACUAGCACUAGAAAUAGACAUAUAUCUAUUUUGCAAAGCAGUCCAAACUUCAUGAGAAGUCUUACACCCAACCACAUGCUCAAUAGCAUCAUCACUAAGUGUAGCAAUAAGAAGACUAAGCAAUGGCAUAUCUGUCUUGACCCAAAUGGCCUACUGCUUUAAUUCCUGUUUCAAAAAUAGAUAAUUUUGUAUCUAACUGUAUAAAGGCAAGCGCAGAUGUAUGAAUAGGAGAUGUUAUGCGAGUAUCUACAGGACCUAAAUUAUCAACCGGCUCUCCAAGAACGUUGAAAAUUCGUUCUAGAGUCGCUCCACCGACUGGAACACUUAAAGGAGCUCCAGUGUCAAUCAUUUCCAUUCCUCUCUUUAGACCAUCUGUAGCACUCAUAGCGUUUUAUAAGUAGUGCUAAUUUCUUUAGUAACCCCCAUCUCAAAAUUAAGCACAUAUUUAGGAGGGCACACAAAUUCACCAGUGAAAUGAUCAAAGAGAUCAUAUCCACGAAGCACUGAGCAAAACUGAAAAUUCCACUUAAUGAAAUUAUCAUCAUUCAACUUGAUUGUUAACAUCCCUAAAAGAUUCUCAAGCUUCACUGACUCAGACAUGAUUACGUAGCAACAAUAUCAAUCAAGAAUCACAACCACAAACCAAGAAGAUGAAAUCGGAAAAAAUCACGGACUUAGGAGAAAAACCCAGAUGUAAAACUCAAAUUUCGCGUCCAAAAUUUCACAAAGAAGAACAAUCAACUAACAAUACUGGAUGAACAACUGGUUAUCGACCUUAAUUCAUCACAGAAAUCAUGUGAAUUGGCAUCAGCCUUCAAGAACGCUUCAAUAGCAUACAAUCUGAAAUGAUCUAAUCAAUCAAGCUGUCUGGGCAUCGGCCUUGAAUUCAGACAAGCUACUACUAUAAUCUUGAACAAAGAAACAAGAUCCGAAAAAAAAAUUCCCAAAAUUUACAAUUUACC
This 13366-nucleotide long non-coding RNA is filed under the name Malus domestica (apple). Its description in RNAcentral is "long non-coding RNA (MDOM_LNC017244)". Lineage: Eukaryota; Viridiplantae; Streptophyta; Magnoliopsida; Rosales; Rosaceae. The record is from RNAcentral.